CGAGUUGUAAUUUGCAGAGGAUGUUUUUGGCGCGGUGCCUUCCGAGUUCCCUGGAACGGGACGCCACAGAGGGUGAGAGCCCCGUCUGGUUGGACACCAAGCCUGUGUAAAACUCCUUCAACGAGUCGAGUAGUUUGGGAAUGCUGCUCUAAAUGGGAGGUAAAUCUCUUCUAAAGCUAAAUACCGGCCAGAGACCGAUAGCGCACAAGUAGAGUGAUCGAAAGAUGAAAAGCACCUUGAAAAGGGGGUUAAACAGUACGUGAAAUUGUUGAAAGGGAAGCGUUUAUGACCAGACUUGUGCCGUGUGGCUCAUCCGGGGUUCUCCCCGGUGCACUCCACACGGUUCAGGCCAGCAUCGGUUCUCGCUGGGGGAUAAGAACGGUAGGAACGUGGCCCUCUUCGGAGGGUGUUAUAGCCUGCCGUACGAUACCCUGGCGGGGACCGAGGACCGCGCUUCGUGCUAGGAUGCUGGCGUAAUGGUCAUUAGCGACCCGUCUUGAAACACGGACCAAGGAGUCGUCCAUUAGAGCGAGCGUUUGGGUGUAAAACCCGCACGCGUAAUGAAAGUGAAAUUAGGUGAGAGCUUCGGCGCAUCAUCGACCGAUCCUGAAGUUUACGGAUGGAUUUGAGUAAGAGUUUUAACGGACGGACCCGAAAGACAGUGAACUAU
Molecule: ribosomal RNA, 670 nt
Filed under: Gnomoniopsis idaeicola
Lineage: Eukaryota; Fungi; Ascomycota; Sordariomycetes; Diaporthales; Gnomoniaceae
Description: partial large subunit ribosomal RNA
Rfam family: Eukaryotic large subunit ribosomal RNA
Source: RNAcentral